Molecule: ribosomal RNA, 482 nt
Filed under: uncultured bacterium
Lineage: Bacteria
Description: partial 16S ribosomal RNA
Rfam family: Bacterial small subunit ribosomal RNA
Source: RNAcentral
AUUGAACGCUGGCGGCAUGCCUUACACAUGCAAGUCGAACGGUAACAGGUCUUCGGAUGCUGACGAGUGGCGAACGGGUGCGUAAUACAUCGGAACGUGCCCGAUCGUGGGGGAUAACGAGGCGAAAGCUUUGCUAAUACCGCAUACGAUCUACGGUUGAAAGCGGGGGAUCUUCGGACCUCGCGCGGACGGAGCGGCCGAUGGCAGAUUAGGUAGUUGGUGGGUUAAAAGCUUACCAAGCCGACGAUCUGUAGCUGGUCUGAGAGGAUGAUCCGCCACACUGGAACUGAGACACGGCCCAGACUCCUACGGGAGGCAGCAGUAGGGAAUUUUGGACAAUGGGCGAAAGCCUGAUCCAGCCAUGCCGCGUGCAGGAUGAAGGCCUUUGGGUUGUAAACUUCUGUUGUACGGAACGAAAAGCCUCUUACUAAUAAAGAGGGGUCAUGACGGUACCGUAAGAAUAAGCACCGGCUAACUACGUG